RNAcentral lists this ribosomal RNA (423 nucleotides) under uncultured bacterium. Its description in RNAcentral is "bacterial SSU rRNA". It matches the Rfam family "Bacterial small subunit ribosomal RNA", at positions 207 to 622 of the family's 1533-position model. The record is from RNAcentral.
AAGACCUUGCGCUUUUGGAGCGGCCGAUGCCUGAUUAGCUUGUUGGUAAGGUAAAGGCUUACCAAGGCUUCGAUCAGUAGCUGGUCUGAGAGGACGGCCAGCCACACUGGGACUGAGACACGGCCCAGACUCCUACGGGAGGCAGCAGUGGGGAAUUUUGGACAAUGGGGGAAACCCUGAUCCAGCCAUGCCGCGUGAGUGAAGAAGGCCUUCGGGUUGUAAAGCUCUUUCAGCCGGAACGAAACGGUUACGGAUAAUACCCGUGACUACUGGCGGUACCGGAAGAAGAAGCACCGGCUAACUACGUGCCAGCAGCCGCGGUAAUACGUAGGGUGCGAGCGUUAAUCGGAAUUACUGGGCGUAAAGCGUGCGCAGGUGGUUUUGUAAGUCAGAUGUGAAGGCCCCGGGCUCAACCUGGGAACU